UACGUAGGGUGCAAGCGUUGUCCGGAUUUAUUGGGUUUAAAGGGUGCGUAGGCGGCCCUGUAAGUCAGUGGUGAAAUACUCCAGCUUAACUGGAGGGGUGCCAUUGAUACUGCAGGGCUUGAGUUAAGUUGAAGUUGGCGGAAUUGACGGUGUAGCGGUGAAGUGCUUAGAUAUCGUCAAGAACACCGAUAGUGAAGACAGCUAACUAAACUUUUACUGACGCUGAGGCACGAAAGUGUGGGGAUCAAACAGG
Molecule: ribosomal RNA, 253 nt
Filed under: uncultured bacterium
Lineage: Bacteria
Description: partial 16S ribosomal RNA
Rfam family: Bacterial small subunit ribosomal RNA
Source: RNAcentral